This is a long non-coding RNA of Puntigrus tetrazona (Sumatra barb), 412 nucleotides long. RefSeq lists it as uncharacterized. NCBI's taxonomy places the organism in Eukaryota, Metazoa, Chordata, Actinopteri, Cypriniformes, Cyprinidae. The transcript has 3 exons. The record is from RefSeq and is a predicted model, not a curated record.
GCCGUUUUGAUUGCGUGAUUGAGAAACACCCCGCGCUCAGAACUCGAGGAACGCCCACUUUUGCUCCGGAGACCGCGGGCUCGUUGAAACGCAGCAGGAAGGCGCGAGUCUGACUGGAGCUCUCCUGAGUCGGACGGAUGUUCUAGACUCACCAGGAAGGAGCCGAACAUGGCGAUGGAGGACAGGAAGUGCCAGAUGUCGUGAUCGUCAAAGAAGGAGAGCAGGAUACACUCACGGUUGUGUUCUCGAGACUCGGCCGGAGUUUUCUGGAGACACACAGAUCAACUUCAGAAACCACAGGACAGUUCUUCAGAUCCGGCCCUCGAGGGCCACCGUCAGUCAGGGCCACAUCUGAAGAAGGCCCCAGGAAGUAGAUGAAGAUGAUGAUGAUGACGUCAUCAUAAGAGCAGCA